This 319-nucleotide unclassified non-coding RNA is filed under the name plant metagenome. RNAcentral describes it as "partial contains 5.8S ribosomal RNA, internal transcribed spacer 2, and large subunit ribosomal RNA". The stretch from base 1 to 104 matches the Rfam family "5.8S ribosomal RNA", at positions 51 to 154 of the family's 154-position model. The record is from RNAcentral.
AAAUGCGAUAAUUAAUGUGAAUUGCAGAAUUCAGUGAAUCAUCGAGUCUUUGAACGCACAUUGCACCCCCUGGUAUUCCGGGGGGUAUGCCUGUCCGAGCGUCAUUGCUGCCCUCAAGCCCGGCUUGUGUGUUGGGUCCUCGUCCCCCCCCGGGGGACGGGCCCGAAAGGCAGCGGCGGCACCGCGUCCGGUCCUCGAGCGUAUGGGGCUUUGUCACACCGCUCUCGUAGGCCCGGCCGGCGCUGGCCGACGCUGAAAAGCAACCAUUAUUUCUCCAGGUUGACCUCGGAUCAGGUAGGGAUACCCGCUGAACUUAGGC